CUAAUUAUCAUAUUAUGGAUCUCAGGUUUUAUGUAAGUAUUGAUGUUUAAAUUCAUCUUAUAUGGUAACCACAUGUCAUGUUUUAAGUAACUCUAAUAAUUCUACUCUCGUCUCGGACCAUAGUGACCGACUUCACAAGAAAGCCAAAGCAACAUCUACUGUUUGACACUAAGCGCGAGAUGAUGGCAAAAAUGUGUGACUGCUGGCCAGGGAUGGAGUUCCAUGUGUUAGCCUACAACUCGAUUUUUAUACCAUAUCGUAGAUCUGGACAAUGCUACAUGCUAUUUGUGUUUAACAUGGAUGAACAAACCGUUACUCUACUUGAUCCCUGUCCUGCACCGGACAUGUCUAAACAAAGACUUCAUGACUACUAUGUAAGCAAGCUAAAAGAAAUAUCAUUCUACCUAAACAUUGCUCUUCAAGACGCAAUUAAAGGCUGGAACGAUGACGUUUUCUAUUGGUGUCGCAUCACACCAUGUCGGUUGCCAAUGAACCAUGACAGGUUAGAAUCCAUGGCAUUAUACGUAGUUUUCUAGAUCUUGUCUACAAUUUAGCUAACAACAAUGUGUACUUUCUAUAUAGCCGCAUGUCCGGAUUUUUGGUUCUAACAUAUAUGCGUUGGUGGAAUGGUAAAGAAGUUGUCCGAGCAAAUGGCAAGGUGGGUAUCGAAUUAAAAUCUAUCUACAAUACUGUAAGUUUGACUUUUUCUGCAGUAUUGAUGUGUAAUCCAUGUGCAGGUUGGUUACACCCUACGGAACAAAGCGGUUGUACACAUGCUUUCGUACAAGGACAACGAGUGUGAAGCCAACGUUCCGCAAUUUGUUACAUAUUUGGUCAACAUAGUUGGGUCAGAUUUUUUUCUUUGAAAAGUUGCUGGUUCAGCUAUUGUGAUGUCCUAAAUCAUGAUGUCCGAACAAGAGUAAUGCUAUUAUCAGUACCAUAACUACGAUUUUGUAGUAAAUCUUUGUAAAUAGUCUUGGGCACAGUCCAAGCACGAGUAAUGCUAUUAUCACUUUUUAAA
Molecule: long non-coding RNA, 1021 nt
Organism: Lolium perenne
Lineage: Eukaryota; Viridiplantae; Streptophyta; Magnoliopsida; Poales; Poaceae
Source: RefSeq, a predicted model, not a curated record